Molecule: ribosomal RNA, 337 nt
Filed under: Haemaphysalis longicornis (longhorned tick)
Lineage: Eukaryota; Metazoa; Arthropoda; Arachnida; Ixodida; Ixodidae
Description: partial small subunit ribosomal RNA
Source: RNAcentral
AUUAUUUAGAAAAUUAUAUUGUUAGUAUAUAAAUUGUAUGAAAACAAAAAAUUAUGGCGGUAUUUUAAGCUUUUCAGAGGAAUUUGCUCUUUAAUGGAUAAAACACCUAAAUCUUACUAAAUUUAGUUAAACAGUUUGUAUACCACUAUUUAAGUAAUAAUUUGCUAUUAUUACUAAAAUUUAUUAAUUAAAAAAAGUUAAGUCAAGGUGCAGCAUAAAUUUUAGUAUGAAGUGAAUUACAUUUCUUUUAAGAAAAAUUUGUUGAAAUAUAAAAUUUAGGAUUUGAAAGUAAAAUUUUAAUAGAAGGAAAAUUUGAAUUAAGCUCUAAAAUAUGUAC